Molecule: ribosomal RNA, 966 nt
Filed under: Cylindrodendrum sp. DAOM 226786
Lineage: Eukaryota; Fungi; Ascomycota; Sordariomycetes; Hypocreales; Nectriaceae
Description: eukaryotic LSU rRNA
Rfam family: Eukaryotic large subunit ribosomal RNA
Source: RNAcentral
CCCUAGUAACGGCGAGUGAAGCGGCAACAGCUCAAAUUUGAAAUCUGGCCCUCGGGUCCGAAUUGUAAUUUGUAGAGGAUGCUUUUGGUGAGGUGCCUUCCGAGUUCCCUGGAACGGGACGCCAUAGAGGGUGAGAGCCCCGUCUGGUUGGACACCGAUCCUCUGUAAAGCUCCUUCGACGAGUCGAGUAGUUUGGGAAUGCUGCUCUAAAUGGGAGGUAUAUGUCUUCUAAAGCUAAAUAUUGGCCAGAGACCGAUAGCGCACAAGUAGAGUGAUCGAAAGAUGAAAAGCACUUUGAAAAGAGAGUUAAAAAGUACGUGAAAUUGUUGAAAGGGAAGCGCUCAUGACCAGACUUGGGCUUGGUUGAUCAUCCAGGGUUCUCCCUGGUGCACUCUUCCAGUCCAGGCCAGCAUCAGUUCGCUGUGGGGGAUAAAGGCUUCGGGAAUGUGGCUCCUCCGGGAGUGUUAUAGCCCGUUGUGUCAUACCCUGUGGUGGACUGAGGUUCGCGCAUCUGCAAGGAUGCUGGCGUAAUGGUCAUCAGCGACCCGUCUUGAAACACGGACCAAGGAGUCGUCUUCGUAUGCGAGUGUUCGGGUGUUAAACCCCUACGCGUAAUGAAAGUGAACGCAGGUGAGAGCUUCGGCGCAUCAUCGACCGAUCCUGAUGUUCUCGGAUGGAUUUGAGUAAGAGCAUACGGGGCCGGACCCGAAAGAAGGUGAACUAUGCCUGUAUAGGGUGAAGCCAGAGGAAACUCUGGUGGAGGCUCGCAGCGGUUCUGACGUGCAAAUCGAUCGUCAAAUAUGGGCAUGGGGGCGAAAGACUAAUCGAACCUUCUAGUAGCUGGUUUCCGCCGAAGUUUCCCUCAGGAUAGCAGUGUUGAACUCAGUUUUAUGAGGUAAAGCGAAUGAUUAGGGACUCGGGGGCGCUAUUUAGCCUUCAUCCAUUCUCAAACUUUAAAUAUGUAAG